This 505-nucleotide ribosomal RNA is filed under the name uncultured bacterium. RNAcentral's name for it is "bacterial SSU rRNA". It matches the Rfam family "Bacterial small subunit ribosomal RNA", at positions 17 to 518 of the family's 1533-position model. The record is from RNAcentral.
UUAUGGCUCAGGAUGAACGCUAGCGACAGGCCUAACACAUGCAAGUCGAGGGGCAGCGCGGAGUAGCAAUACUUGGCGGCGACCGGCGCACGGGUGCGUAACAGGUGUGCAAUCUGUCCAUAGUCGGGGGAUAGCCCGGCGAAAGCCGAAUUAAUACUCCAUGUGAGUGAGAGCCGCAUGACUUUCACUUGAAACGUAAGGACUAUGGGUGAGCACGCUUCUGAUUAGGUAGUUGGUGAGGUAACGGCCCACCAAGCCGACGAUCAGUAGGGGUUCUGAGAGGAAGGUCCCCCACAUUGGAACUGAGACACGGUCCAAACUCCUACGGGAGGCAGCAGUGAGGAAUAUUGGUCAAUGGACGAGAGUCUGAACCAGCCAAGUCGCCGUGAAGGAUGAAGGUUCUAUGGAUUGUAAACUUCUUUUGUCCGAGGGUAAAGUGCGGGACGUGUCCCGUUUGGCAAGUAUCGGACGAAUAAGCAUCGGCUAACUCCGUGCCAGCCGCUGC